UCUAUGGGCCUGUAGCUCUCGGCCAGGCGGCGUUGCGAUCAGCGGACGACAGCGCCGCAUGUGGAAGCAAAUCGAAACAAUGGUCCGCACAAGAGUGUUUCGGUUUCGCGGGUUUCGCUCUGGCGCAAGCAAGCAAUGUAUCGCAUCCUGCGUGGGUUUGAAAAGCUGGAGGUCAUUGACGAUUGGGCAAGUUACUAGUCAAUGUUUUCGGCGUCGACGAAGCAUCGGACGGUAACGAAAUCGUCGUUAAUGCAUUUCGGAAGAAGUGAAGGACAGCGUGGUUUAUAGCGUCCGGUUCGAGGUGUCCAAGUGCUCGUGACAGUUUAUGUUGCGUCGUGUACCUGUAAAGCGGGAAUUGCGGGAAAAUGUAAGCACGCGGCAGCAGUCUGCUGCUACCUGAACAAGGAAGAAGACGCCACAUGUACGGGCAACAACAAAAGAGGGGCAAGCCAAGCUCAAAGCCGCAGGCGUGACAUGACAAAGGGUAUCGCCGACUUAUUUCCGAAGCUGAUGAGGCUACAGUCAUCUCUGCUGCAUCGUUGAUCAUUUGCCAAUGAUCUUUCUCUACUGAAUGCUGCUGCUGUACCCUGCUGCAUCGUUGAUCGUUGGCUAUUCUGUUAUUCUUCAGCAUUUUAUAUGUUUCAUCAACCAGUAUCGUACCGUGUACCUAGUACGUUGCCUCAAAACAAUGCUUUAUUGCUCUUGGUAAUAAACAGCUUGCAUCUGAUAUAUUUCUC
Molecule: long non-coding RNA, 737 nt
Organism: Ornithodoros turicata
Lineage: Eukaryota; Metazoa; Arthropoda; Arachnida; Ixodida; Argasidae
Exons: 3
Source: RefSeq, a predicted model, not a curated record